UGGGGAAUAUUGCACAAUGGGCGAAAGCCUGAUGCAGCAACGCCGCGUGAGUGAUGAAGGUCUUCGGAUUGUAAAGCUCUGUCUUUUGGGACGAUAAUGACGGUACCAAAGGAGGAAGCCACGGCUAACUACGUGCCAGCAGCCGCGGUAAUACGUAGGUGGCGAGCGUUGUCCGGAUUUACUGGGCGUAAAGGGUGCGUAGGCGGAUGUUUAAGUGAGAUGUGAAAUACCCGGGCUUAACUUGGGUGCUGCAUUUCAAGCUGGAUAUCUAGAGUGCAGGAGAGGAGAAUGGAAUUCCUAGUGUAGCGGUGAAAUGCGUAGAGAUUAGGAAGAACACCAGUGGCGAAGGCGAUUCUCUGGACUGUAACUGACGCUGAGGCACGAAAGCGUGGGUAGCAAACAGGAUUAGAUACCCUGGUAGUCCACGCCGUAAACGAUGAGUACUAGGUGUAGGAGGUAUCGACCCCUUCUGUGCCGCAGUAAACACAUU
RNAcentral lists this ribosomal RNA (490 nucleotides) under uncultured bacterium. RNAcentral describes it as "partial 16S ribosomal RNA". It matches the Rfam family "Bacterial small subunit ribosomal RNA", at positions 355 to 861 of the family's 1533-position model. The record is from RNAcentral.